This 492-nucleotide ribosomal RNA is filed under the name uncultured bacterium. Its description in RNAcentral is "partial 16S ribosomal RNA". It matches the Rfam family "Bacterial small subunit ribosomal RNA", at positions 29 to 507 of the family's 1533-position model. The record is from RNAcentral.
AGUGGACGCUGGCGGUAGGCCUAACACAUGCAAGUCGAACGGCAGCACAGUAAGAGCUUGCUCUUACGGGUGGCGAGUGGCGGACGGGUGAGGAAUACAUCGGAAUCUACUUUUUCGUGGGGGAUAACGUAGGGAAACUUACGCUAAUACCGCAUACGACCUACGGGUGAAAGCAGGGGAUCUUCGGACCUUGCGCGAUUGAAUGAGCCGAUGUCGGAUUAGCUAGUUGGCGGGGUAAAGGCCCACCAAGGCGACGAUCCGUAGCUGGUCUGAGAGGAUGAUCAGCCACACUGGAACUGAGACACGGUCCAGACUCCUACGGGAGGCAGCAGUGGGGAAUAUUGGACAAUGGGCGCAAGCCUGAUCCAGCCAUACCGCGUGGGUGAAGAAGGCCUUCGGGUUGUAAAGCCCUUUUGUUGGGAAAGAAAAGCAGCAGGUUAAUACCCCGCUGUUCUGACGGUACCCAAAGAAUAAGCACCGGCUAACUCCGUG